AGGGAAUGCAAGAUGGGGGAAACAUCAACACGGCUUCGGUGGCGGCCUCUCCUACCUCAGUGACUUUAGUCCCAGGUCUAUUUAGAACUUCUAUUAAACUGUCAGCAAGAAUGGAAACCACAAAGGACAAUCUAUACUCCAUCAUUUAUAUUGACACUGAGAGGUACCAAGAAUAUCUUUAAAAGAGGGAAAAGAAAUGAAACAGUAUGGAGAAGAAUAUUAAUGCUCUGCGAUCAGCUGCCUCUGUUGCUUAUUCGCAUCAAUGGUGAAGGAGAUGUCAGGAGCACUUCUCUGCUGCGUCGGCUGCUGUAAA
Prionailurus viverrinus (fishing cat) is the source of this 313-nucleotide long non-coding RNA. RefSeq lists it as uncharacterized. NCBI's taxonomy places the organism in Eukaryota, Metazoa, Chordata, Mammalia, Carnivora, Felidae. The record is from RefSeq and is a predicted model, not a curated record. The transcript has 3 exons.